Molecule: unclassified non-coding RNA, 20 nt
Filed under: Dictyostelium discoideum
Lineage: Eukaryota; Evosea; Eumycetozoa; Dictyosteliales; Dictyosteliaceae
Source: RNAcentral
AUUCCAUUGGUUUAGAACUG